Pyrus x bretschneideri (Chinese white pear) is the source of this 1773-nucleotide RNA transcript. It is a transcript of the gene named protein PEP-RELATED DEVELOPMENT ARRESTED 1, chloroplastic, with no coding region annotated. The transcript is spliced from 11 exons. The record is from RefSeq and is a predicted model, not a curated record. NCBI's taxonomy places the organism in Eukaryota, Viridiplantae, Streptophyta, Magnoliopsida, Rosales, Rosaceae.
UCCUGCAAAAUACAAAAACCCAGCAAAAACCCCACAAGAAAAAAAUUGUGGCAGAACACCAAAAUGUUUCCGUGUUUUUCAUACACAGCUGCACAGUCUGUAAACCCAGCAAUUCUCUGUCUACCCUCUUUUUCCUCCCACCACAGCAAAUUUCCCCAACCUCAGCUUCAGCCAAAGCAACCCAAUAAGAAGAUGCAGCGGCAGACGCUGCGACGGUGCGGCACCUAUGAGGUGGGCGGCGGAUACCCGGACGAAGGAUUUGGCGCACAAGGGAAGAACAAAACUGCCCAAGAGCAAGGCAGCUCAAAAUUGGAGCCUGCCCAAUACGAAGCCCUUCUCAGAGGUGGUGAGCAGGUCACUUCUGUUCUUGAAGAGAUGAUCGUACUUUUGGAGGAUAUGAACAUGGAUGAGGCAUCUGAAGAGGUGGCAGUGGAAAUUGCUGCACAGGGGGUCCUAGGGAAGAGAGUUGAUGAAAUGGAGGCCAGUUUCAUGAUGGCUCUAGAUUACAUGAUCCAACUCGCUGACAGUGACCAAGAUGAUAAGCGCAAGUCUCUAUUGGAGGUGAUCAAGGAGACAGUAUUAUCCUAUCUUACAAAAAAAUGCCCCCCACAUGUUCAAGUGGUUGGCCUACUCUGUAGAACUCCCUUAAAAGAAAGCAGGCAGGAAUUACUACGCAGAGUGGCUGCUGGUGGUGGUGUGUUUAAAAGUAAAAAUGACAUCAAAGUUCAUGUUCCAGCUGCAAAUCUUAAUGAUAUUGCUAACCAGGCUGAUGAUAUACUGGAGACAAUGGAAACUCGGCCUAUAGUUCCAGAUCGAAAACUGCUUGCAAGACUUGUUUUGAUCAGAGAGGAAGCUCGGAAUAUGAUGGGAGGUGGAAUACUAGAUGAGAGAAAUGAUCGUGGAUUUAACACUCUUCCAGAAUCCGAGGUGAAUUUCUUAACCAAACUGGUAGCUUUAAAGCCAGGGAAGACUGUCCAGGAGAUGAUAAAAAAUGUAAUGGAAGGUAAAAAUGAAGGUGCUGACCACUCUAGCAGUGAUGAGGAAGAUGGCACUGGUGCGACAAGUGGAAUUGGAGGAAGGGAAAGUGUUUCAGGACGAAAACCACUUCCUGUGCGCCCUGGCAUGUUUCUUGAGACUGUCUCCAAGGUCUUAGGUGGUAUAUAUGGUGGAAAUGUCUCUGGCAUCACAGCACAACAUCUAGAAUGGGUUCAUCAGAAGACACUCGAAGUUCUUCAGGAAAUAGCAUUUUGAACAUUUUACCCGGGAAUCAGACACAAGCGUGGCUCGAAUCAUACUUUGUUUAAAGGAAAACACCGAGAAUCAGCAAAACUGAUGAUGAAGAUUUAACAGUGUCCAAUGAACACCAGUGCAACACCAUGUGUGGAAAUGUCCCACAAAUAUGGAUUUUGAUAUGCUUGCAUCAGUGCAAACUUCGGUGGACCUCGGUAAUGAUUCAUAUGCCUUGAGUAGUAGAAGCAAACACAGCAAGGAUCGGUAUACUUUCACAUGCUUAAUUAAAUGGGGCACGCUUGCUCAGGUGUCACACAUCGUUGCCCCCCACAUCUUCCUCGAGAAUGUAGAGGGCAAAUGACCUCCCACGCGAGCACGCCGCACAAUUGCCAUAAAGCCAAGUCCUCAACGACAAACUCAUUGGAAGACGAAUGGCACAUCAUUAAUAUUAUUGAUGUCAGUAUGUUUUGUUGGUUAUAACAACAUCAACACAUUAUUAACAACUUAUCAAUACAUUAUGAACAACAUUGCUUCAACACAUUA